Non-coding RNA from Cyanistes caeruleus (blue tit), 290 nucleotides. NCBI's taxonomy places the organism in Eukaryota, Metazoa, Chordata, Aves, Passeriformes, Paridae. The record is from RefSeq and is a predicted model, not a curated record.
ACAAUCACAACUCUCUCAGCCUUCUUCAUAGGAGAGGUGUUCCAGCUCUGACCAUCUUCAUGGCCUUCCACUGGAUUCACUUUAGCAGGUCCAUGACUUUCUUGGCUGAGAAAUCCAGGCCAGGAUGCAGCACUCCAGUUUUCUUCUAGAAAGAGUUCAGACAAGAACUGAGAACACAGCAAUCCUUAGAGGAGAAGUUCAUUCUGCCAGAUAAGAAGUUGAAGAAGAGGUUGCUGGCCAAUCAGCAGAGCAAAUAUAUUGUAAUUACUCCAGCCCUCAAAGGUAAUGAC